CCUACGGGAGGCUGCAGUGGGGAAUAUUGCACAAUGGGGGAAACCCUGAUGCAGCAACGCCGCGUGAGCGAUGAAGGCCUUCGGGUCGUAAAGCUCUGUCCUAAGGGAAGAAUAUUGACGGUACCUUAGGAGGAAGCCCCGGCUAACUACGUGCCAGCAGCCGCGGUAAUACGUAGGGGGCUAGCGUUAUCCGGAAUUACCGGGCGUAAAGGGUGCGUAGGCGGUCCUUCAGAGCAGAGGUGAAAGGUCACGGCUCAACCGUAGUAAGCCUUUGAAACUGUAGGGCUUGAGUGCAGGAGAAGAGAGCGGAAUUCUCAGUGUAGCAGUGAAAUGCGUAGAGAUUGGGAGGAACACCAGUUGCGAAGGCGGCUCUCUGGACUGUAACUGACGCUGAGGCACGAAAGCGUGGGGAGCGAACAGGAUUAGAUCCCCGGGUAGUC
RNAcentral lists this ribosomal RNA (440 nucleotides) under uncultured bacterium. RNAcentral's name for it is "bacterial SSU rRNA". It matches the Rfam family "Bacterial small subunit ribosomal RNA", at positions 338 to 795 of the family's 1533-position model. The record is from RNAcentral.